GCUCAAGUGAUCCUCCCACCUCAGCCUCCUGAGUAGCUGGGAGUACAGGCACACGCCACCUCACCCGCAAUUGCCCCCACAUGUGCGCAUUUGGGAUUCUGUGACAUUGAAUACUCUCCACGUCAUUGGAAUAGGUUUUUUUGACCGAGCAGUCACCUGUAUUGCAUUCUCAAAAUCUAAUGGAGGAACCAAUCUCUGUGCUGUGGAUGACUCCAACGACCAUGUGCUCUCUGUAUGGGACUGGCAGAAAGAAGAAAAACUGGCAGAUGUGAAGUGCUCUAAUGAAGCUGUGUUUGCUGCGGAUUUCCACCCCACGGACACCAACAUCAUAGUUACCUGUGGAAAAUCGCAUCUCUACUUUUGGACACUAGAAGGAAGCUCCCUUAAUAAGAAGCAAGGAUUAUUUGAGAAACAAGAAAAGCCAAAGUUUGUCCUCUGUGUGACUUUCUCUGAAAACGGUGACACCAUUACUGGAGAUUCAAGUGGCAACAUCUUAGUAUGGGGAAAAGGUACAAAUCGAAUAAGC
Molecule: small RNA, 526 nt
Filed under: Pongo abelii (Sumatran orangutan)
Lineage: Eukaryota; Metazoa; Chordata; Mammalia; Primates; Hominidae
Description: processed transcript
Source: RNAcentral